Molecule: ribosomal RNA, 442 nt
Filed under: uncultured bacterium
Lineage: Bacteria
Description: partial 16S ribosomal RNA
Rfam family: Bacterial small subunit ribosomal RNA
Source: RNAcentral
UUCUUGCGGAGUGGCGGUACCUAAUUAAGAAGCAUCGGCUAACUCCGUGCCGGCAGCCGAGGCAAUACGGAGGAUGCUAGCGUUAUCCGGAUUCACUGGGUUUAAAGGGUGCGUAGGGGGCCCUGUAAGUCAGUGGUGAAAUCCCGGAGCUUAACUUGGGAACUGCCAUUGAUACUGCUGGUCUUGAAUUUUGUGGAGGUAAGCGGAAUAUGUCAUGUAGCGGUGAAAUGCUUAGAUAUGAUAUAGAACACCGAUUGCGAAGGCAGCUUACUACGCAAAUAUUGACGCUGAGGCACGAAAGCGUGGGGAUCAAACAGGAUUAGAUACCCUGGUAGUCCACGCCCUAAACGAUGAUUACUCGAUGUUGGCGAUAUACAGUCUGGGGCUAAGCGAAAGCCUUAAGUAUUCCACCUGGGAAGUACCAACGCAAGGUUGAAACUCA